Molecule: long non-coding RNA, 4714 nt
Organism: Oncorhynchus tshawytscha (Chinook salmon)
Lineage: Eukaryota; Metazoa; Chordata; Actinopteri; Salmoniformes; Salmonidae
Source: Ensembl
CAAGAAGUCACUCAAGAGACAUGCCCUUUGGUUGCACAAGCAUAAUGACUUGUGUUAAUUAUAGUAUAAAAAAAUGUGAGUUGUUGGGGAGAAGACAUUAACUUGACUCCUGAUCACACAGUCAGGUUCCAGCAUCUUGUUCUUGAAGAGACUGUCCCCAUGGCGACGAUGUUGACUGUCCUUAUCCUACUCAUCAUUGCCUUUGCAUGUGAGAGAGACACCUUCACACUACUAGAAUUUUUCUACGGCUGGCCAUGCUUUCCACCUGGCUACUCCUACCCCGGUCAACAGUACUGCACCCCCAACAGCAAUUCGCCCAAGCCUUCCCCAUUUCUCCUUCUCCCAAAUCCAUUCAGCUGAUGUUCUGAAAGAGCUGCAAAAUCUGGACCCCUACAAAUCAGCCGGGCUAGACAAUCUGGACCCUUUCUUUCUAAAAUUAUCUGCCGAAAUUGUUGCCACCCCUAUUACUAGCCUGUUCAACCCCUGUAAACAGGUCAAUGGAAUUCAACCAAAACAGUGAAAAUGCCAUGGAAACACCUCCCACGCAUCCCCCUGUGAGGGAUAGAUCUAGAAUCUCCUUAUUGCCACCCUUCAAAAUUAAGCUACAUUUUAAUAAUUUGCCUACAUUUACAGUGCAUUCAGAAAGUGUUCAGAGCCCAUUACUUUUUCCACAUUUUGAUAAGUUACUGCCUUAUUCUAAAAUGGAUAAAAUUGAUUUUUUUUUUUGCUCAAUAAACUACACACAAUACCCCAUAAUGUCAAAGCAAAAACUGUUUUUUAUAUAUUUUUUUUCUCCAAAUGUGUAUAUAUAUAUAAAAAAACUGAAAUAUCACAUUUACUUAAGCAUUCAAACCCUUUACUCUGUACUUUGUUGAAGGAUCUUUGGCAGUGAUUACAGCCUCGAAUCUUCUUGGGUAUGACACUACAAGCUUGGCACACCUGUAUUUGGGGAGUUUCUCCCAUUCUUCUCUGCAGAUCCUCUCAAGCUCUGUCAGGUUGGAUGGGGAGCAUUGCUGCACAGCUAUUUUCAGGUCUCUCCAGAGCUCUGUUAGAGUGACCAUCUGGUUCUUGGUCACCUCCCUGACCAAGGCCCUUCUCCCCCAAUUGCUCAGUUUGGCCGGGCGGCCAGCUCUAGGAAGAGUCUUGAUGGUUCCAAACGUAUUCCAUUUUAAGAAUGAUGGCCAUUGUGUUCUUGGGGACCUCCAAUGCUGCAGAAAUGUUUUGGUUCCCUUCUCCAGAUCUGUACCUCAACACAAUCCUGUCUCGGAGCCCUACAAACAAUUCCUUUGACCUCAUGGCUUGUUUUUUUCUCUGACAUGCACUGUCAACUGUGGGACCUUAUAUAGACAGUUUUGUGCCUUUCCAAAUCAUGUCAAAUCAAUUAAAUUUACCACAGGUGGACUCCAAUCAAGUUGUAGAAACAUCUCAAGGUUAAUCAAUGGAAACAGGAUGCACCUGAGCUCAAUUUCGAGUCUCAUAGCAAAGGGACUGAAUACUUAUGUAAAUAAGGUAAUUCUGUUUGUAUAUUUUAUACAUUUGCUGAAGUUUAUAAAACCCCUUUUUCACUUUGUCAUUAUGGGGUAUUGUGUGUAGAUUGCUGAGGAUUUGUAUUUAUUUCAUGGAUUUUAGAAUAAGGCUGUAACGUAACAAAAUGUGGAAAAAGUCAAGGGGUCUGAGUACUUUCCGAAGCCACUGUACAUGGUAUUUCACACUAUGUUUGGUUAAAAAUCGGAGUAUAAUGCUUGUAUAGAUGUCAACCCCGAAGCAUUUUCAUGUCAUCAUCACCAAUCAACUGUAUUACAAUUAAAAACGUCUUCACCUACAACCACCAAUUUAUAUAUGCUAGUUAUGUUACCAGCUUAUAUGAACAGGAAAAGGACACCUUCUAAAUAUUAUGCAGCUAAAACAGCCAAAUAUGUCCAAAUAGGAUUUUAGUAACCACCUUGUGGGCCUGUUCGAACAUAGAAAUGAGGGAUUUGAUGAAUAUCCACUUUUUUAAUAGAUUCUCUUUUUGACAGGGUGCCAAUGACAGUGUUUCUUUUAUCUCCAACGGUCUGCGUUCCAUUGACCUCUUUAACACAUGUAUGGGAAAUGUUGAGUCGAUUGUUUGGUGGUUCCCCAAAAAACAUUGCCAUGUUGAAUAAGAACACUCAGAAUGAUACAUUGCAACAGUCACUCUUUAGCUCACGCUUAUUACCAAAAUGUGUGUCUAGACCUGUCCUUUUCAGGUAACAGGACCCUGGAACCCUCAUCAUCUGGAACCGAGGAGCCGUCCUUCUCAGGUGACAGGACCCUGGAACCCUCAUCAUCUGGAACCGAGGAGCCGUCCUUCUCAGGUGACAGGACCCUGGAACCACCAUCAUCUGGAACCGAGGAGCCGUCCUUCUCAGGUGAUAGGACCCUGGAACCACCAUCAUCUGGAACCGAGGAGCCGUCCUUCUCAGGUAACAGAACCCUGGAACCUCCAUCAUCUGGAACCGAGGAGCCAUCCUACUCGGGUGACAGGACCCUGGAACCCCCAUCAUCUGGAACCGAGGAGCCAUCCUACUCUGGUGACAGGACCCUGGAACCUCCAUCAUCUGGAACCGAGGAGCCGUCCUUCUCAGGUGAUAGGACCCUGGAACCCCCAUCAUCUGGAACCGAGGAGCCAUCCUACUCUGGUGACAGGACCCUGGAACCUUCAUCAUCUGGAACCAAGGAGCCGUCCUUCUCAGGUGACAGGACCCUGGAACCACCAUCAUCUGGAACCGAGGAGCCGUCUUUCUCAGGUGACAGAACCCUGGAACCUCCAUCAUCUGGAACCGAGGAGCCAUCCUACUCGGGUGACAGGACCCUGGAACCCCCAUCAUCUGGAACCGAGGAGCCAUCCUACUCUUCUGACAGGACCCUGGAACCUUCAUCAUCUGGAACCAAGGAGCCGUCCUUCUCAGGUAACAGGACCCUGGAACCACCAUCAUCUGGAACAGAGGAGCCGUCUUUCUCAGGUGACAGGACCCUGGAACCCCCAUCAUCUGGAACCGUGGAGCCGUCCUUCUCAGGUGACAGGACCCUGGAACCACCAUCAUCUGGAACCAAGGAGCCGUCUUUCUCAGGUGAUAGGACCCUGGAACCCCCAUCAUCUGGAACCGAGGAGCCGUCCUUCUCAGGUAACAGGACCCUGGAACCCCCAUCAUCUGGAACCGAGGAGCCGUCUUUCUCAGGUGACAGGACCCUGGAACCACCAUCAUCUGGAACCGUGGAGCCGUCUUUCUCAGGUGACAGGACCCUGGAACCCCCAUCAUCUGGAACAGAGGAGCCGUCCUCCGGAGUGUGAGAAGAUCAUGAACAGCAACGGGAGAGUUGAUAAUAUUGAUUACCAUGAUAUUGACCAGGGUAUAUUUUUUUACAUGGAUAUUGCAGUGUCAUUUCAGACACAGCCUGAGAGGGAAAAGUACAGCAAUUGUUUGUCAGAUUUAUUUAGCAUAAUUGUUAACUUUUCUGCUAUCCUGUCUAGUAACUUUCCAUAACUAUGUAGACAGUAAAGCCUUAUAUGCUGUAGUGUGUCUUUCACUGAAGCUUUCCUAUCCUCUGUGCUGACUGUCAUUAGCAGACCUGGGCUCAAACAUACUAUCUGAAAUCUUCCAAAUACUUUGAGUGUUUUAUCUAGCCUGUCUGAAGUGCUGGAUGGGCAGUGUUUGCAGUUUUGGGACAAUUGUAUUGGUCAAUUUUACCAUGCAGGCUCAUUCAAGCACAGAUUAAGUAUUUGGAAUGAUUUCAAAUAGUAUUUUAACCAGGUCUGGACAUAAGAAAAUAUUACAUAACAUAUACAUGUAAGAUCCUGUUUUUGUUAUUUUAUCCCCCUCUACUUUACACAGGGCAGGAGGCCUUCCAGGCUUCUGGUCUAUCAGAUGUCAAAGACCUCUGUAGUACCACUUCAUACAGAGUUUGACUCUUUCUAUCUUCUGUUUCAUCAUCUAAACCCUGUGUCCCAUCAUGUAGUUGUUUUGGAGGCAUUCUGUCAUGGAAUAAAUCUAUAUGAUCAAGAUCAUCUUGUCCUAGUUGCAAGGUCCCUCCUGGGAAGGUGGGUGGGGUCAUUUCUUUUUCUUUGCAAUUUUCUCUCUUUGCAAUUCUGUCACUAUUGUGAAAGUUGUUUUAGACUUAAAGCAUAUAGCCCAAUUGACAAGUACUUCAUGACUGUGCCACCAGUGGACGCUGCUAAGGGGAGGACGGCUCAUAAUAAUGGCUGGAAUGGAGUCAAUGGAACGCUAUCAAACGUGGUUUCCAUGUGGUUGAUACCAUUCCAAUGACUCCAUUCCAGGCAUUACUAUGAGCCGUCCUCCCCACAGCAGCCUCCACUGUGUGCCCACAUUGUAAUUGAUAUACAGUAUGUUUGCCAAGGUUAUACAGUGUAAGAUUAAGUAGUGUAUGGUUCCAACUUGUAUAGAUCACGGUAACAUAUAAUGUACUAACAAUAUCAAUAUUAUGUUUGCGUUUUCUCUAGGCAAUGUUAUUGUACUGUACUUCUUCAUAUUGCACUCGGUGAACCAGAACUGUGUGUGUGCGUGUGUAUGCAUAUGUAUUGCUUGAUUAGGACAAGCAAUACAAACGCAAAAGUGUUUACUUCUCUUGAGACGAGUAUGAUGAAGAGAGGAAAAAAAGAGUUGUCGAGUUGCAUAAACGCCCAGGCUUUGGGGAAGUGUUGCUACUAUUAAAUAAAGAAGAGAUGAUUAAUGCA